Molecule: ribosomal RNA, 497 nt
Filed under: uncultured bacterium
Lineage: Bacteria
Description: partial 16S ribosomal RNA
Rfam family: Bacterial small subunit ribosomal RNA
Source: RNAcentral
GAUGAACGCUGGCGGCGUGCCUAAUACAUGCAAGUCGAGCGAACAGACGAGGAGCUUGCUCCUUUGACGUUAGCGGCGGACGGGUGAGUAACACGUGGAUAACCUACCUAUAAGACUGGGAUAACUUCGGGAAACCGGAGCUAAUACCGGAUAACAUGUUGAACCGCAUGGUUCAACAGUGAAAGACGGUCUUGCUGUCACUUAUAGAUGGAUCCGCGCCGCAUUAGCUAGUUGGUAAGGUAACGGCCUACCGAGGCAACGAUGCGUAGCCGACCUGAGAGGGUGAUCGGCCACACUGGAACUGAGACACGGUCCAGACUCCUACGGGAGGCAGCAGUAGGGAAUCUUCCGCAAUGGGCGAAAGCCUGACGGAGCAACGCCGCGUGAGUGAAGAAGGUCUUCGGAUCGUAAAACUCUGUUAUUAGGGAAGAACAAAUGUGUAAGUAACUAUGCACGUCUUGACGGUACCUAAUCAGAAAGCCACGGCUAACUACGUG